Molecule: long non-coding RNA, 2801 nt
Organism: Oreochromis aureus
Lineage: Eukaryota; Metazoa; Chordata; Actinopteri; Cichliformes; Cichlidae
Source: Ensembl
AAUGAUUUGUCUUAACAAACAAAAACAUUUAUCUGAAAAUAGGUAUGAGUACUGGACUGAAAACAGGUUAAAAAAUUUUAAAAAGCAGACAAUGUGCAUAGAAGAACGUUGAAAUACCUUCAAAAACCUGGAGAACUAUUGCUCAAGACCCCCACUAUAAAAUUAAGAGGGUCACUGGAAGCAAAGACUUGCAAAUUAGGAAUGAGUCAGCCCUGUCACGCGGUGUUCAGGUCACUUGAAUCGGGACUUUGGGACAGUGUGGCAGUGUUUGUUGAGAAAGCUUUUCCUAAAAAGGAAAUGUUACUCGCAUUCAGACUAAAGCUGCCUGAAUUUCCCCGAAAGAGAGUGGAAGAAUGACCUCCAAGGUCACAGUUAAAUGGUAAAUGGACUAAUUCUUAAAUAGUGCUUUUCUACUCUUCUGGAGCACUCAAAGCGAUUUAUACAACAUGUCUCAUUCACCCAUUCGCACCCAUUCAUACAAGCACUUUUCUCUAUUGUGAUAAUGGUGAUGAUAUGAACUGAAAUUUUGGUACAGAUGGUACAGCAAACUGUGCUCACAGACAGAUUUCUACAAGUACGCACAGAGAUUUCUCCAGAUUCUCUGAAUCUUUUGAUAAUAUUAUGUACUGUAGUCAAUUUUAUAGACACUGUUUUUUACAGAAAGGCAAACCUCUGCUCACCUUUACUUCUGAGAAACUCUGCCUCUCUAAGACGCUCUUUUCCUAGUCAGUCAUGUUACUGACCUGAUCCCAAGCAAUGUAAUACGUUUCUCCAGCUGUUUCUUUCCUGUCCUACUUGCUUUUCUAGCCUUUUGCUGCCCAACUUUUUGAGACAUAUUACUGCCAUCAAAGUCAAAAUGAGUCAGUAGUUUUUAUGACAUUAUAAAGGCAAUAAAAUAUGGAUUUCUUUGGAACUUUUUUGGAGUUGUCUCACACAUAUAAACAGAAGUUUUUUUUUCCCCAGCAGGCUUGUUGGUUGCAUGGAAAAGGCGGAAGAGCUUAAAUUGAUGAAGUUCGAGAAGGAUGAGGUCCGGUCUGUCUACAUGUGCGUGCCUCCUCUAGUCUCUGGGGACAUAAGUACUUCAUCCUGGGACCAUAAUGUUUCUGUAGAUUCCCAGUAAAAUCAACCAUCUUAAUAAGACUGCAAUGACAAACAGUUUAGCAGUGAUCAGAACUGAACUCUCUUUUGUCCAGAGAAGGCCACACUUUUCCAGAAUGAUUAUUCUAUUUUGAUUUCAUGCUCUACAAAUAAGAACUUAACACAUCUAAUGGACAGUACUGAAAAACAGUCCAGUAUUUCUGUGUAUGGCUUUUAACUUAGUGUUGCACAAAAGGCUUUUAACCUUCUGAAAUCUAAGCAUUCUCUCUAUAUGAAUAUUUUUAUAACUUUAACACAGCACAGAAAAAUAGUUUCCUUGGUUUGAAACGAGGAUGAUUGACAUAUUGUUAAAGACCCCAAGGUCUCAGUCAAUCCUCUUCAGCUUUUGAUAUUGAAACCCAAUCUCAGGACAAAGAGCAGAACUGUGCUUUUAAUUCCUGGUACACCUAACAGCUGUGGGGAUGACCGCAUGGAUUGUAAUGUCAGAGGUAUAAGUAGCCUUAAAUGGGGCGAGCAGUGUGGUGUGACUCCUCCAAAUGACUGUGGUAUUAAUUCAUCUGUUCAGUGAUACAUGCUUGAUAGAUCACAUCGCGUAUUUCAUUUAAAACCCUAUAAAUAUGAAUUUCUCAUCAUUAUACUCGCACUUUAGGAAAGUUUAGUCUGUGCUUGACAUGGCAUUGUGUGUUAAUUCAGCGCCGUCACAAAGGGGUCGAAGUUAUGUGACCUGUAUUCAAGGUCAAAUAUCCGUGACGACAGGUUGCAUGCAGUGUGUAUCUGUGGCUUCGGCUGUCCGAAACGCUCCACUUGAAGAGAUAGGGCAGAGAGCUGUUGUCUGAGAAUGCAGGCAAUAUGUGUCAACACCAAAUUCAAAUCUGCCACGGAAGGAGACAAUUGAUAAGUGAACAAGCACCCGUGCUCGCAGGGGGAAAUAAAAAUACUAAGAUGAUGACAUGGAUUUAGUGUUCAUGUACUGCUCACCUAUACUGUGUAUCUUUUAGACACAACUGGAGAGCUGAUUAGUUUUUGAUCACGUAGUUUGAAAUCUGACUCCAGUUGUAUGUUACGCAUCUUGUUUCAUGUUUUAAGUUUUUCCAACAAUUUAUAGUCUUCUGAAUGACUUACCUGUCCAGACUUGUACCAUAAAGGGGCCUGAAUUAAAAUAAGUGUUAUCACCUUAUGAAAUUUUUCGUAUUAUUUCUCUUCAAAUCACAGUGUUAUAUAACUCAUUUAUCACUGAGAUGAGCUGAAAUACAAAACAUACAAACACUUUUCACACACAAAAACAGAGAUGAAGCGCAGGGCGUGGAGCGUAUUAAUAUGAGUUGUUAACACUGCUUGGUUACAAAAAAUUAUGGUAGUUACUAUGUUACAAUUGUGUAACAUUAACUGAUGAUGCAGUAAAAAGGUAAUAAUAUGGCCAUGUAUCCAAAUGCCUAACCCACCAUAACAUAGUCUUUUAUCUGUUUAGCGUGAAUUGCAUUAUCAUGACACCAAACUCUUUGUUUCGCUUCCAUCUGUUGAUCAUCCCUCAGUAUAAACCAUUUUCUAAUGUGUGACACUAAUUUGACCCUAUUUAUGGGUCAGCGUGACUCAUGAGGCAAGGAGCUCCAGCAGGCAGGGCGUCCUUUCUCUUCUAAAGGUUUAACUCAGGAUAUCUUUUAAGCUGAGUGAUCCAUCGCAGAGCUCGGCCCCCUUCUAUCUUU